UGCUGCCAUACGUCACUCAGUAACUUCAACAACGCAAUCACCUCACUCCCACUAUCAGUCGUCAUCGUAAUGACAUACGAUGAUACACGAAUGUCGUGUUUAACACAGAUGCCUGCCAUCACGGUCCAAACCUGCGAAGCCCAAGGGCGAAUACAAUGCGUCUACCAACGCCACACAUGUGGUAAACCACACAUAAGUACUAAUUUGAUCCCACGUAUUUCGACGUGUUCACCUCCUUGGUUAGAAGCGGAGCACUACCUAAAACUCCUUGAAAACGCAACUCCACGUACGACCGAAAACAACCACAAAAUCUACGGGAAACAACGAUGGACAAACGUCGCAGCGUUAACAUUGGCAUGUCAUGCGCAGCACCAAAUCACUCGGUCGCGCCAGUACAGCAACACCUCGUAAUGGAUAACUAGCGUGUAUUCAUGCCUUCGCUAAGUCUUGUCCGUCUCCUAUGAAAUACUUCCCGGGAGAUGGUGGCCAGCUUUGCAAUAGCCGUCUCGUAUUCAAGGGCCCUACUGAGAUCCCACACUGCCUCGCUAAUCCCCAUCGCGCCUAUAUAUCUAAUGUCUGCAUAGUACGGGCAUUCCCUCAGUGCAUGCUUCCAGCCCUCAGAUUUUCCACAGUCGCACAGAUCAGUCGCGGACAAGUUCCUCUGAUGCAAAAAUACAUUAAAGGGACCAUGUCCCGUCAGUAUGAAGCCCAGACUUAGGACGAAACCAAAGAUCGGCCGGUCUCGUCACGAAUAAAUUCGUAAGUCAUCCGACCAUUGUCACUGUUCGUCCAUAUAGUUUUCCUAUCAUCAUAACGCUCCAAAAGGAGUUCCUUGAGCCGCCUAACAUCUCCAACUGCAAGCUCAGAAGCAGUGAGCCAAUCCUCACACACUAAUGGAAUUCCCUUUUUCACACUAUGCAGAACGCCCAUGUAACUCAUGAGUAAGUCAAGCGGGGGCGCGCAAUAACUGUAGUGCAUCUGUCGAAACAGUCCUACACACAGGCAAGCAAGCUAGCAUUGCCACUCUCUGACAAGAGAGGAUCUUCUUUCGCCCUAAGACUGUCCCAGCAACUCCGUGCCAUACAGGCGCUCCAUAAGUUGCGCAAGCAUCAAAUCUUCUUUAAUCAGGAUGAGCAGGUCAAUCGCAUUUGCACUGAUUUUGAAGGAUUCAGCGAGACGUCCCAGCAGGGGAUCCAUCGUAAGGUUCCAUAUAUAUGGAGCACAGAUGGACCCCUGAGGACAACUACGCUGAAUAUCCCCUUCUACCACUGAAGUAACUACGCCAGAGAAAAAGUUCCCGACAAACUAUUUCGCCUAAUCUCGUGAGUACACUACGUUAUGAAAGGUAAUCAAACGCGCCUUUGAAAUCGACAAAUAUGCCAAGGACAUAUUUGGCACUCGACUCUCUCACACAGUUCUGCACAUGGAUUCAGGCACCUACAGUGCUCUCUUCCUCCCAAAAGCCGAACUAGAACCCUCCUCGUAGCCCUCCCUAAAUCUUUUGACCAAUAUCCUCUCCAAUACUUUCGCAAGCACGGGAGAAGACUGAUGCCCCGAUAUGAUAGUAUAAAUUGUGUAAUGACCAAGAUUAUAUUGUGUUUCCUUUCACGCAUGUGUAAUGCGAAAAAAAGUGCGAAUGAGUCAAAUAUAUGUCCAGUUUCUAUCACAUACAGACCCAAAGUGGUGUAACAAAAAAUAUCAAGACAAUUAGAAGUGUGUUUUUAAUCUCUACAUAAAACAUAUAUUUUUUGUUAUUCUAAAAUUGAACAAAUUUAUUGUGAACAAGUUUGCGCUGAAAUAGCGUAAUGCAGAAAAAUGCCGUAUGUGAACAUAUAGAACGGAUAAAUGCUAAACGCACCAAAUUGGAGGACAUUGUAGAAUGUAAACAUGUAGUAAUAUGUUUACAGCAAGGUUUAUAAAAAUGGGUUCGUCUCAGUAGAGGGACCCUGAGAUGGGUAGAAAUCAUCAUAGAUUUAAAACCACGCAUAAAAAAUUCUUAUAGACAUAUACUAACCUAACGAUUAUCAUAAUUUUGGAACUGUACUUUACUGCACAUCUAUUGUGACCUGUAAAAAAUGGAAAUAUGUACAUGGUUUAAUAAAAGGGUUCGGCUCAGUAGAGGGACCCUGAGAUGGGUAUAUAUCAUCAAAAUAAUUUAAUUUUGCAUAAUUUAAAAUAAGUAUGUACUAACUUCUUGGCUUCUUGUGCAAUCCCAGAAUUGGCGGCUCAUUUUCCAAGAAAUACCUGAAACAUAAAAAAAAUUACCGAUAUAUUUAUAUAUUAAUAGAGGGCUUACAUCACAAUUUAAACGCUUGAUAUCAGAAUCCUUUUGGUUUAAAUUGAGUGUGUGCUCAUCAAUGAGUUUAUUCUGAGUAGAAUUAUCAUCAUUUAAAAAAAAAAAAGUAAAAACGAUUGAAAUUUUGCAGGGCCAUAAGUUUCAACUUAACCCUAGGAUGGGUCAACAUUUUUUCUACGUUGUUGAGCGGACGUGGUCUAGCCAAACAACCUUAAAAGAGCUAUAAAAUGUUAAUAACUUUUUUUAAAUUUUAUUUUUGAUUACAAAAAUUUUUUAAUAUUAACUAAUUUUUAAAUUUUAAUUGUUCAAGACGAUAAAGACGAAAGCAAACGAAAUUAUGGAGAUAUUCUAUUUAUUAUUUAUUUAUUUAUUUCAAUAUAAAACAAAAAGCCAUACGGCCAAAUAACUGUAUUACAAGGGAAGCUACCAGUGCAAAAGUAUCUAUACGAUAUGAAAAUAGUAAAAAAUAUAAUCUAAAUAAAAAAUUUAUGAUUA
Stomoxys calcitrans (stable fly) is the source of this 2791-nucleotide long non-coding RNA. RefSeq lists it as uncharacterized. Lineage: Eukaryota; Metazoa; Arthropoda; Insecta; Diptera; Muscidae. The record is from RefSeq and is a predicted model, not a curated record. The transcript has 3 exons.